This 982-nucleotide ribosomal RNA is filed under the name Escherichia coli. Its description in RNAcentral is "partial 23S ribosomal RNA". It matches the Rfam family "Bacterial large subunit ribosomal RNA", at positions 518 to 1506 of the family's 2925-position model. The record is from RNAcentral. Lineage: Bacteria; Pseudomonadati; Pseudomonadota; Gammaproteobacteria; Enterobacterales; Enterobacteriaceae.
AAAGAACCCCGGCGAGGGGAGUGAAAAAGAACCUGAAACCGUGUACGUACAAGCAGUGGGAGCCUCUUAAUGGGGUGACUGCGUACCUUUUGUAUAAUGGGUCAGCGACUUAUAUUCUGUAGCAAGGUUAACCGAAUAGGGGAGCCGAAGGGAAACCGAGUCUUAACUGGGCGUUAAGUUGCAGGGUAUAGACCCGAAACCCGGUGAUCUAGCCAUGGGCAGGUUGAAGGUUGGGUAACACUAACUGGAGGACCGAACCGACUAAUGUUGAAAAAUUAGCGGAUGACUUGUGGCUGGGGGUGAAAGGCCAAUCAAACCGGGAGAUAGCUGGUUCUCCCCGAAAGCUAUUUAGGUAGCGCCUCGUGAAUUCAUCUCCGGGGGUAGAGCACUGUUUCGGCAAGGGGGUCAUCCCGACUUACCAACCCGAUGCAAACUGCGAAUACCGGAGAAUGUUAUCACGGGAGACACACGGCGGGUGCUAACGUCCGUCGUGAAGAGGGAAACAACCCAGACCGCCAGCUAAGGUCCCAAAGUCAUGGUUAAGUGGGAAACGAUGUGGGAAGGCCCAGACAGCCAGGAUGUUGGCUUAGAAGCAGCCAUCAUUUAAAGAAAGCGUAAUAGCUCACUGGUCGAGUCGGCCUGCGCGGAAGAUGUAACGGGGCUAAACCAUGCACCGAAGCUGCGGCAGCGACACUAUGUGUUGUUGGGUAGGGGAGCGUUCUGUAAGCCUGUGAAGGUGGCCUGUGAGGGUUGCUGGAGGUAUCAGAAGUGCGAAUGCUGACAUAAGUAACGAUAAAGCGGGUGAAAAGCCCGCUCGCCGGAAGACCAAGGGUUCCUGUCCAACGUUAAUCGGGGCAGGGUGAGUCGACCCCUAAGGCGAGGCCGAAAGGCGUAGUCGAUGGGAAACAGGUUAAUAUUCCUGUACUUGGUGUUACUGCGAAGGGGGGACGGAGAAGGCUAUGUUGGCCGGGCGACGGUUGUC